AGUCAAGACAUAUUUGUUUGCGUUGUGGAUAGUGCUAUGUUGGUUCACAUUCUAAUGAUUGAAUCCCAGACUGUUUCAUCAACUUUUCCUUUCUGAAACAGUAAAAUCACAAAGUUGAAUUAACUAUGUAAGACACAAACACUUGGGAUAUGCAUUUGAAAGUUUGUUUUCUUUUGUUUAAAGCAUGUAGUUUAUUAGAUAUGUAUAUCUGUCCAGUUGUUUUGCUACAUGACUCCUAUUGAAUGUUUCUAUUUUCUUAUGGUCAGUCUGAUCCAGUUGAUUCUACCUUUAAGUGUUGUACCUUAGUGUCUGUCAGUUUUGAAGUCUCUCUUGGCUUUUUUUUUUUGUUUGUUUAAAUUGAUAUUGAGUUGAGUAGCAAUGUACUGUUUCAAACAAAUAUUUUUCAAGUUUGUCUUUAUUUUUUAGUUAAGUGUCUGGUUCUAUUCAAGUCCCUCUUUUAGAAUUAAGAAAUUGCAUUUAAAUCAUUAGAAAAUGCUAAUUAGCAUGGUAUCCAUGCUGAGUUUGGUCUCCCCUUAUAGUGGAUAGGAUGGGAUUUGUGUGUGUGUGCCAUGACAGCCUUGUGUUGAAUCACAUGAGAAAAGAAGUUUUUUUUUUUUAAUGAUGAAAUCUGUGAUAUGCUGUAGGCCACCCCCACAAUACAUUUCACCAUGUGAUAUGACAUACUACACUGGCCAGAAGUGGACUGGCCUGACCUAUAUCUGGAAGUGCAAGUAGAACAGAAGCCACUAGUUGGUGUGGCUCCCCCUCCUGGUGAUGUAUAGGAGACAUUGUAUAACAAUGCUUUCUUUAGUUUGUGAACAUUUUGUUCUGUUGUGAACACCCACAUUGUGGCUUGAACCAUGUGUAUCAUUGAAAUAAGCACAAGUUGUACAGUUUCUUUUAAUGAUAUUUACAUUUUUAGUUUUUUUUUUCCCCUUUUUGUCACAUGGUGAAGUCUAUUUACUACAUAACAGACAAGAAUUUAGACAGUGUUUUAAUACCUGAUUCCCACACACAUAUUUUUUCAAUGAUGCAUUUUUUUUACCUAGGUUAUUAUUAUU
Biomphalaria pfeifferi is the source of this 1061-nucleotide non-coding RNA. Lineage: Eukaryota; Metazoa; Mollusca; Gastropoda; Planorbidae. The record is from the annotation of a GenBank genome assembly.